CUGAGAUCAAGACCUGAGCUGAGACUGACAGUUGGAUGGCUAACUGACUGAGCCACCCAGACACCCCUAAAAAUUCUUAAUGGCAUUAUACCACAACACCCUGGGGUGGCAGUUUGAGAACAGUGACAACAGAAUAUAGUGCCAGCUGAGCCUCUGACCAGACUCGGCUGAAUUCCCAGAAAGUAACCAGCACCAACUGCCAGCUGUGUGAGUGAGGCACUCUGGAGUUCCCACCAUCCCAAGUGUAACUAGACAACACUCCAACUAGCUAACACUAUUUGGAGACACCCACAGAGACCUGAAAACUAAUAUGUUGUUAUUGUUUAAAGCUACUAACCUUUGCAGUGCUUGCUAGGUAGCAAUAGAUAACUGAAACAUUUAUAUUGCCAAACUGCCCUUCAAACGUGUUAUGGAUUGAAUUGUGUCCCUCAAAGUUCCUAUGUUAAUGUCUUAACCCCUCAGGUCCUCAAAUGUGAUCUUACUUGACGAUAGCAUCUUUAUAGAAGUCAUCAAAUUAAAAUGAGGUUAUAAGGUUGGGCCCAUAAUCCAACAAGUGGUGUCUCUAUAAGAAGGGGACAUAGAUACGCAUGGAUGUGAAGAGACACAGGGAGGACUAUCCACAAACCAAGGAAGGAGGCCUGGAAUAGAUCCUUUCCUCACAGCCCUCACAAAGAAUCGAUACUGCCCACACUUUGAAUUUGGAUUUCAAGCCUCUGGAAGUUUCCAAUGCAGACCUUCUCUACCUAAAUGACGACUGCUUAUCUUCACAGGACAUCAACAGGACAAAAGACAUGAAUCGACACUCCGAAUAAAAGAGUUUUGUAUUUCAUCAAUGAUAUUGGCAUCCUUCCUGUUACAAAAGCCAAAAACUUGCUUUGGAUUUGUGUGUGCAUGUGUGACUUAUACACAAAUAACAUUUAAUUGGCAAAUUAAACAUGCCUGGCAUAUUUGAUUAAAUUCACUGCAAUACUCA
Felis catus (domestic cat) is the source of this 973-nucleotide long non-coding RNA. RefSeq lists it as uncharacterized. The record is from RefSeq and is a predicted model, not a curated record. The transcript is spliced from 2 exons. NCBI's taxonomy places the organism in Eukaryota, Metazoa, Chordata, Mammalia, Carnivora, Felidae.